This 605-nucleotide ribosomal RNA is filed under the name Staphylococcus aureus. RNAcentral describes it as "bacterial SSU rRNA". It matches the Rfam family "Bacterial small subunit ribosomal RNA", at positions 937 to 1533 of the family's 1533-position model. The record is from RNAcentral. Lineage: Bacteria; Bacillati; Bacillota; Bacilli; Caryophanales; Staphylococcaceae.
GCAUGUGGUUUAAUUCGAAGCAACGCGAAGAACCUUACCAAAUCUUGACAUCCUUUGACAACUCUAGAGAUAGAGCCUUCCCCUUCGGGGGACAAAGUGACAGGUGGUGCAUGGUUGUCGUCAGCUCGUGUCGUGAGAUGUUGGGUUAAGUCCCGCAACGAGCGCAACCCUUAAGCUUAGUUGCCAUCAUUAAGUUGGGCACUCUAAGUUGACUGCCGGUGACAAACCGGAGGAAGGUGGGGAUGACGUCAAAUCAUCAUGCCCCUUAUGAUUUGGGCUACACACGUGCUACAAUGGACAAUACAAAGGGCAGCGAAACCGCGAGGUCAAGCAAAUCCCAUAAAGUUGUUCUCAGUUCGGAUUGUAGUCUGCAACUCGACUACAUGAAGCUGGAAUCGCUAGUAAUCGUAGAUCAGCAUGCUACGGUGAAUACGUUCCCGGGUCUUGUACACACCGCCCGUCACACCACGAGAGUUUGUAACACCCGAAGCCGGUGGAGUAACCUUUUAGGAGCUAGCCGUCGAAGGUGGGACAAAUGAUUGGGGUGAAGUCGUAACAAGGUAGCCGUAUCGGAAGGUGCGGCUGGAUCACCUCCUUUCUAAGGA